Molecule: ribosomal RNA, 484 nt
Filed under: uncultured bacterium
Lineage: Bacteria
Description: partial 16S ribosomal RNA
Rfam family: Bacterial small subunit ribosomal RNA
Source: RNAcentral
AGUGAACGCUGGCGGCAGGCCUAACACAUGCAAGUCGAACGGCAGAACAGAACGUGCUCGCUCUUUCGGGUGGCGACGGGCGGGCGGGUCCGAAGAAUCUCGCUGUCUGCGUUUUAGAAGGGGCGGACACGGGGGCUAAUACGCCAUUCCUGCAUACGACCUACGGGUGGGAGCUUGGGACCUUCGGCCCUCACAUGAGCCUAUGUCGGAUUAGCUAGUUGGCGGGUUAAAGGCCUACCAAGGCGACGAUCCGUAACUGGUCUGAGAGGAUGAUCAGCCACACUGGAACUGAGACACGGUCCAGACUCCUACGGGAGGCAGCAGUGGGGAAUAUUGGACAAUGGGCGCAAGCCUGAUCCAGCCAUGCCGCGUGUGUGAAGAAGGUCUUCGGGUUGUAAAGCCCUUUUGGUGGGAAGGAAGGGCAGUAAGUUAAUACCCCGCUGUUCUGACGGUACCCAAAGAAUAAGCACCGGCUAACUUCGUG